RNAcentral lists this long non-coding RNA (288 nucleotides) under Mytilus galloprovincialis (Mediterranean mussel). Lineage: Eukaryota; Metazoa; Mollusca; Bivalvia; Mytilida; Mytilidae. The record is from RNAcentral.
AUAAGGAUUAAUUUCAAAGAUAUGGUGAGUAAAUAUUUGUUUAUAAUAUGAACCUGUUGAUACAACAUGUCUUGUUACAAUUAGAUGAUAUACAUGAAUACAUACACAACAGAAAUUACAUGUAGGGAGUUGAGAGCAGUGUACAUAUUAUUAUUCAAUCAGUAUCAAAGAGGUCAUUGCACUGACCUGACCACGCAAAAUAUAUAUUUAUAUACAAAAAAUGUAACACAUAGUAGAAAAAGCUUCGAUUUUCGUAUUCGGUUUAAGAUAUUUGAGCAAAAAUUGCAU